GUUUCAUGCACCCCAGACUGCUUUAUUCAAAAUGCUUCAAGUGGUAAAAUCUGUGCUUAAACAUCCAGCAGGCACUAAACAACAGCAUUCAUUUUGAGUUGUUUCUGACCACCUGAUGAUCAGUCCUUCAGGACGUUGCAGCUGGCGAGUCUUGACGGGAAACUCGCUCUUGCUCUUCUGCUCUAAUUCGUGCCCGGCCCUGAGCUCGCUCCUACUGCAGGGAUGCCCUGCACUGGUGCAACAUACAUGGUCUGAUCCUCUGGGCUUGAUGGAUGAAAUAUGACAUCACACGUGUGUAGUAUAGUACUUGUACAUUCAUGAAACAUACUGCGCACGACUCGGAGGUGUGUGGAGAACUCAGAGGACGUAACACCAUCUGUGCCCAUAUUAUUCUCUGGUUCAUGUCACAGACCAUAUGAUGGUACAACAGCAUGUGGAAGAGUAGAUGUGCACAUGCCAGCAGUCACCAAGCAUAUGUAUAAAUGUGUUACUGCAUUCACACAAAUAUUUGGAUGCAAAAAUGAACCAGCUUUCUCUUGUACCUUGAGUAAACGCACAUAAAGACUGUGGCAAUAACACAGGA
Acanthopagrus latus (yellowfin seabream) is the source of this 583-nucleotide long non-coding RNA. RefSeq lists it as uncharacterized. The record is from RefSeq and is a predicted model, not a curated record. NCBI's taxonomy places the organism in Eukaryota, Metazoa, Chordata, Actinopteri, Spariformes, Sparidae. The transcript is spliced from 2 exons.